RNAcentral lists this ribosomal RNA (465 nucleotides) under Vreelandella stevensii. RNAcentral describes it as "partial 16S ribosomal RNA". It matches the Rfam family "Bacterial small subunit ribosomal RNA", at positions 338 to 795 of the family's 1533-position model. Lineage: Bacteria; Pseudomonadati; Pseudomonadota; Gammaproteobacteria; Oceanospirillales; Halomonadaceae. The record is from RNAcentral.
CCUACGGGUGGCUGCAGUGGGGAAUAUUGGACAAUGGGCGAAAGCCUGAUCCAGCCAUGCCGCGUGUGUGAAGAAGGCCUUCGGGUUGUAAAGCACUUUCAGUGGGGAAGAAAGCCUUGGGGCUAAUACCCUCGAGGAAGGACAUCACCCACAGAAGAAGCACCGGCUAACUCCGUGCCAGCAGCCGCGGUAAUACGGAGGGUGCGAGCGUUAAUCGGAAUUACUGGGCGUAAAGCGCGCGUAGGCGGUCUGAUAAGCCGGUUGUGAAAGCCCCGGGCUCAACCUGGGAACGGCAUCCGGAACUGUCAGGCUAGAGUGCAGGAGAGGAAGGUAGAAUUCCCGGUGUAGCGGUGAAAUGCGUAGAGAUCGGGAGGAAUACCAGUGGCGAAGGCGGCCUUCUGGACUGACACUGACGCUGAGGUGCGAAGGCGUGGGUAGCAAACAGGAUUAGAUACCCUAGUAGUC